Molecule: long non-coding RNA, 6142 nt
Filed under: Amphibalanus amphitrite
Lineage: Eukaryota; Metazoa; Arthropoda; Thecostraca; Balanomorpha; Balanidae
Description: uncharacterized LOC122365989
Source: RNAcentral
AUAGUUUUGGUGAGUAUUUUCUAUCCGACCAGUGGCUUCUAUCCGAACAGUGGAAGCUGGACAGCCACGGCUGACUGUUGUUCUGUUGGCGGGCCAGCGCCGCCUCCCACCGGCCACCAUACGAUGACGGCCGCCGGAGACCGAGCACCGGUACCACCGGACAAAAAGUGGAAUCGGCAAGGCCGGGCUAGCGACUGUCUGCAGAUCGGCAGAGAAGAGCUGAGCUGCACCUACGCUGCAGGGCAACUACCGACUGCAGUGGCUUUACCUGUUUUUGUGUGACCAGCGAGGAAUAAAACGGGCGCGAGACGGAGCAGCGAGACACUCCUCACACAGUCCACACCACGUUCGACAACACCCACUCUGCAACACUCCACUCAACAUGCACAACCUGCCCGCCAUCAUGACGCUGACCAGGGAGCCGAUUGGCUCGGCUUGGCGGCAGCAGGCUGUUCUUUCGGCACUCUUCCGGCCUCUCCAAUAUCGGCACACUCGAGUGCGAUAGCAACUCGAGUGGGACUGAUUUUCGGUCUUCUUUCGACACUCUUCCGUCUUCUUCGAUAUCAGCCUGUGCUAAUGCAACGGCUAUUCGUGCAGGACUGAUUUUCGGCCUUGUCUCGUUUAAUGACUCGAUCGCUUCCUUUUGACAUUUUGGUUUCGACCUCAUCUUUUGGCUCAUUUCAAUAUAUCUACUUUUAACUCAUGUUCACGUCUGUAUGGUGGAUGGUGUUGGGAACGAAGGAGGGAAAGGAACCAGAAACACACACAUAUCGAUCGCGUUUUCAUCAGUAAUACCCCUAGACAGCACAUAGAGUAAAAGAUUGAAGAAUAUAAUCCCCUAGACAACAGAUAAAUAAUCAGGAUGCAAUGUAGGCUAUACAAAGGGACCAACUUAAAUCACAUUGGGGGCUCGUCCGGGAUUUCAAACUCUGUUCUGCUCGAACAGGACCCUGAUUGUAUAUGCCGUUGAUUCAUUGCAUGUUCUUGCUUGUAAAGUUUUCGUUGGUGUAACUUGCUGCUCGUGGUUCGUAAACUUUCCGUUUCACCGUGUUCGUGAAUUGACUGGUCACAAUUUGUGUAUUUCCAGUUGCCUUUAUUUGAUGGUGAAUGGCUCGAGUUUCAGACGCUACUAGAUUCGUCAGGCCAAUUGUUGGUCCGCAUGCUGCAUGGACAACCUACAUUGGACGCACCGUCGAGGUCGCCAUCUCUUGAAGUUCAUUUGAUUCAGGUUAGUCUUGCUUGCUUCUGUGGGUCUACUUACUUUGCCUUCUGGCGAUACGCUAUUCGGUCGUAUGCCUCGUAAAUUAAUUCGUUCGCAUCGUUGGCAUGACAGCAAAUGGCUACCUAACUUCAUAGGAGGUAUAAAUGAAUGUCCUGAUAUGCGCCAUUGAUUACAUCCAUUCGAUUCCUUAGACUUGAAAAUAUGUUUGGAUGAUACAGGACUUGGUAUUCUUGAACUUUAUUAAGAAGUUGCCCGUAUAAGGUGCUCAUAUAAUGCCGACUUGGUGUUCUUGAGCUGGUCCAUAGGUUUGAUCUGAUAACUUCGACUUGGUGUUAUUGAGAUUUGUCUUGACCUUUAAUGCUCAGAUGUUACUGACUUGGCUUUAGGGAGCCAACACUGACUUCGUUGUCAUGACACGUUCUGAUGAUACCGACUUGGUGUCAUUGAACUUUGGGGUAGUUGCCAUAGGACGUCAGUGACCAGGUGCAUGGCAGCACAGUGGUCAGCUAGCGUGUUCGGGGCAAUAACCAUCCACAGAUAAAACAUCGCGAGUUCGAUCAUCUGAUCGCCAAACCGGAUAUGCGAUUUGAUCAGUGUUUUCAAGAUCGCGGAAGUAUCCCAUGAUCAAGGUUUCCGGAGUUCAGAGGUCCGCUGACAUAACCUUACAUGGCCCUGACACAUUCCGAAGUGUCAUUGUGACUGAGUGGAUUGAUGCCUCGCUGACAUGAUUAGUUAUUCUUUUGUGGUUUUACUUGUUGUUUGGGUUUAAUUGUUGUUUCAUGGAGUUGUUUCAUGGCUGAGUUGUUGACAAGGUUCAGUGGAAUAAGAUCGGUUCAAUGUUUCACAGUUUGAGAUGUCAUUUAUUUGUGAGAGUACAACGUCGUUUACAUCUAUUCAGUUAUUACACAGGAAUUUCAACAUUUCAGAGCAUGUGGCAGGUUUCCGGCAAGUCGAAUUCGGGUGAAGUAAUUCUCUCUGUGUUAGACACUUUGCCCUAGUUGAUAGGUAAAUUUCGUAUUAAUUAGUCAUUAAUGGUUAACAUUGGAUGGCAAUAUACUUUUAACUUUGCUUCGGUUCAAACAGACAGUCAUCUCAUCAGUCAGUUGAGGGUUGUGAUUUGUGAAGAUAAUCCCAGUCAACAUUGGUGAUACUCCCGUCCAGUUGGGAAGUAUUUGACAGAAUGGUAAACGCAUUUGUUAUUUGGCGGGUGAUGUGCUGGGCCAGAAAUGUGGUUUCCGUUUAUUGAGUAGGUCGUGCCGUCUGCCUACGUCCCUGAGAGAAGGGCGAGUGCUAGGUAGGACGUGCAGCCUACAGACGUCUCUUGGAGGAGGACGUCACCGGACCGUCUGCUCGCGUGGAGCAGGACGGCAGUCGCUGCCCGGACGCGUAGGAGCUGAGGAGAACUGGUGAUAGGGCCUGCCCCACCUAUCUACCAGAGUGAGUAGCAUGGCAGAGGGUGGUCCUCUGGGGGUCCAUGCCCACCGAACAUACACCGGCCGGGUAUGGGUGGAAUUCUCGGUCAGCUUACGCUCUAGGCAUAAGGGCUGGGCGUGCAGUGACGGGAGCAGCAGGUCACUGGCACAAGCGACAAUCCAUGCUGAGGAGGUGUUCCUAGUAUGUGAAAAACGGAACCAUUUGAGCGUGUAAGGCGGCAAACCCCACCGCAAAUACACUGCUACCGGAGUAUAAAGAGUCGAACACUCCGGCGACUACAAGAGAGAGGCCAGCAGCAAACCCGACUAACAGCUUAUAUGUUUCAGAAGGUGACGUCGAUAGGAAAGGUGUCUUAUUGGGUGAUGACGACUCGAUUGCUCGACUUUGUUACACAGGUGCUGCAGGUACAGCAAACCUGACCAGUAGCUUUAUUGUUUCAGAAGAUGACAUCGAUAGGAAAGGUGUCUUAGGAUGAUGACUCGGUUGCUUUGCUUCAUUUGCACAGGUGUUGCAGAAGCAGCAAACCGAUCGACAGUUUACUUGUUUCAGAAGUUGACUGCAGCGUCGAUAAGAAAGGUGACUCGUUUGCUGUGCUUCGUUGCACAGAUGUUGCAGAAACAGCAAACCCGACAAACGGCUGAUAUGUGAGUACACUUCAGGUGACUGCAGAGGGAAAGACAGUGGUUAAGGGGGAAAGUGGUUUUCGUCUCGUUUUAUCUCCAUUCCAUGGCAGGAGGUAAGACGACUCGAAUCCUUGCUUAGUUGCACUUCGCAAGUCAUAGCAAGUGCAGAACUCUUCAGGAGCCCAGUCCAUGGCUCAUCUUAAAGGUGGAAGAUAUACUUAUACGCUUCAUGUCCUUAUUCAUCGAAAAUGAAUUCGUGGGUCUUGCGGUCGAGAUACCGUGGCAAAGACAAAUAACAAUUCGGCCCAACAGCAGUCACAACGUGAGCUGACUGAAGCCGAAAGGUUUCGAUUUCAGCGCAGGUACGAGGUACGAGACGUCCCGAGAAGUUCUGGCCGGUAGAGCUAAACCGAGUAGCACCGCAACGGUAAAGUAAAAAUCAAUGAAAUGCUGGCUUGGUUGCAUUGUCUCGAAUUAGCGAAUAACAAGUAUGUUAACGGCAUGUUAACGGUUUUAAGCAAGGUUCUGGAGUAACAUCAACUGUGCAAACUGACCACGCCGUUUCCUGUGUAACGUGAAGCCUAUGCAGUUAAGAUCUGCAAUCCUAGAUAACUCGUUCAGCACUCGUUUGAAUUAUUGACAAUCCUAAGUCUGAACGAUGAGCCCACGUCUUGUUUCAUGAAAGGUGUACCUACCAGCUGUUGUGGCUAACUUUCGUUGUAUUGUCUGCAACAGACACCACACCGAGUGGAGGUCCUGAUGGAUUUAGCCGACCCUGUAUGGAGCGCCACCGACUCGUGAGUGACCAGCGACGGUGAUGUCGGGUCACGAACAAAGUAAGGACAACCUUUGAGAUCGAAAGAUCAAAAGCCAACGGGCAUGUGCUCACUUGUUAAAGUAAAGCAGAUGAGUUUGCUACAAUCUACUUCAGAGUAUGCAUGAAGGUCGUGACAAGGGUCAGUUGGUGCUUGAGGUACAAGUUAUGGUGGAGCAACAAUCCUGUGCAUUGCCUUGAAUCUAGAUCCAGCGACAAUCAAUGGAUCUGUGCAGACCAAAGAUGCGCGGGCAUAGAACCGGCAUAGUCAUAGGACAAAUUGCUCGUGUGAUACGAUGCUUGCGUCGUCUGGUGCCUCUCAAUGUCCUCAAGUCAUUGGCGCCAGCAGCAGAGCGAGUCCUACACAGGUAUCUGAGAUACCAGAAGGUCUACAGGCACAACGAACCUCUCGGCAUGACAGAUUGACUUCAACCCUAACACCUCACCCGAGCCCUUAGGUCCCACGUCUCGAUGCUGACUGCUGCCAGAAGUCUGAGCCGCAUCCUUCUGUUAUGACAGAGGCAAACGAUCACUCGCCCUUUGACUGUAACUUAUCUUCCUCCAUGCGUGGCAAUUCAGAGCAGACGGAUGGACACAUCACGCUAACGCUCGGGAAUUUUAAAGUCCAAGCCCGCAUUGGGAAUUGUUAACAUGAGUACCUUUCAUAUUACAUGGCGUGUUCCUCUGCUAAUCCUUUUCGGUUAACCCCGAUAUUCCUUAUCCUUGAAACUGUCACAGGUCAGUAGCAAGAAGAUGUGGUUCCCAGAAUAGCAUAAAUGUAAAUAUGCUUUGGUUGCUUUACCAGUAUUUGGCAUCAAGCAGCAGUACCAAUUUGCAGUGCUUGGGUUAUUGAAGCCAUACGAUCUGAUGAAGUUAUGAUCAAUUAAGAUUCAAGCUACUUAGUACUUUGUAUUUUGUACUAAAGUCAUAUUUUUAGGAAGAUACAAAACGGUUUAAGACAGAGGGUUUGUCGCAUUUGACUUAUCAACGAGUCAAACUCAAUUUAGACUGUGAACCAUCUAACUAUUACGUAUGUGUACCCGUUCAUCCCCAAAGGUUACAGUUCUUCGUUCGCUAUAAAAAUGGAAGGGAUGUGAGAAAUAGUUUUGGUGAGUAUUUUCUAUCCGACCAGUGGCUUCUAUCCGAACAGUGGAAGCUGGACAGCCACGGCUGACUGUUGUUCUGUUGGCGGGCCAGCGCCGCCUCCCACCGGCCACCAUACGAUGACGGCCGCCGGAGACCGAGCACCGGUACCACCGGACAAAAAGUGGAAUCGGCAAGGCCGGGCUAGCGACUGUCUGCAGAUCGGCAGAGAAGAGCUGAGCUGCACCUACGCUGCAGGGCAACUACCGACUGCAGUGGCUUUACCUGUUUUUGUGUGACCAGCGAGGAAUAAAACGGGCGCGAGACGGAGCAGCGAGACACUCCUCACACAGUCCACACCACGUUCGACAACACCCACUCUGCAACACUCCACUCAACAUGCACAAGUAAGUACCUACGUAAGAAUGACUCAGACCGGACGGUCUGCCCCAGCCAGCUCUCUUGGAGCUGUGCUGUGGGGACAAGGUGACGUGACGUCUUCUAGGAAGUCCGUUUAACUUGCCGAACUAUUCGGUAUAUGGUUGAACUGUUUGUUUUGUCUUUCGGCUAACCAUUCGGUUAUCUCUUUCGGCCUUUUUUUUGGUGACCGUUGACCGCCGUUGUCCGGUCUCACUGCGCUGUUUGUGUUUCAGCCUGCCCGCCAUCAUGACGCUGACCAGGGAGCCGAUUGGCUCGGCUUGGCGGCAGCAGGCUGUUCUUUCGGCACUCUUCCGGCCUCUCCAAUAUCGGCACACUCGAGUGCGAUAGCAACUCGAGUGGGACUGAUUUUCGGUCUUCUUUCGACACUCUUCCGUCUUCUUCGAUAUCAGCCUGUGCUAAUGCAACGGCUAUUCGUGCAGGACUGAUUUUCGGCCUUGUCUCGUUUAAUGACUCGAUCGCUUCCUUUUGACAUUUUGGUUUCGACCUCAUCUUUUGGCUCAUUUCAAUAUAUCUACUUUUAACUCA